This 1300-nucleotide ribosomal RNA is filed under the name uncultured prokaryote. Its description in RNAcentral is "partial 16S ribosomal RNA". It matches the Rfam family "Bacterial small subunit ribosomal RNA", at positions 28 to 1334 of the family's 1533-position model. The record is from RNAcentral.
AACGAACGCUGGCGGCGUGCUUAACACAUGCAAGUCGAGCGCGAAAGUCACCUUCGGGUCGAGUAGAGCGGCAGACGGGUGAGUAACACGUGGAUAAUCUGCCUUUAGGUGGGGAAUAACCAUUCGAAAGGAUGGCUAAUACCGCAUAAGACCACAUCACUUCGGUGAAGGGGUUAAAGACUUCGGUCGCCUAAUGAGGAGUCCGCGCCUGAUUAGCUAGUUGGUGAGGUAACGGCUUACCAAGGCAACGAUCGGUAGCUGGUUUGAGAGGAUGAUCAGCCACACUGGUACUUAGACACGGACCAGACUCCUACGGGAGGCAGCAGUGGGGAAUAUUGCGCAAUGGGCGAAAGCCUGACGCAGCAACGUCGCGUGUGAUGAAGGCCUUAGGGUCGUAAAGCCUUGUCAGAUGGGAAGAAACCUACUUCGGUAGCUGACGGUACCAUCAAAGGAAGCACCGGCUAACUCCGUGCCAGCAGCCGCGGUAAUACGGAGGGUGCAAGCGUUGUUCGGAAUCACUGGGCGUAAAGGGCGCGUAGGCGGACCUGCAAGUCUGAUGUGAAAGCCCGGGGCUCAACCCCGGAAGUGCAUUGGAAACUGUAGGUCUUGAGUUCGGGAGAGGAAGGCAGAAUUCCAGGUGUAGGGGUGAAAUCCGUAGAUAUCUGGAGGAAAAUCAGUGGCGAAGGCGGCCUUCUGGAACGUAACUGACGCUGAGGCGCGAAAGCGUGGGGAGCAAACAGGAUUAGAGACCCUGGUAGUCCACGCCGUAAACGAUGGAUGCUAGGUGUAGGGGAUAUUAAAAUUCCCUGUGCCGUAGCUAACGCGAUAAGCAUCCCGCCUGGGGAGUACGGUCGCAAGACUAAAACUCAAAGGAAUUGACGGGGGCCUGCACAAGCGGUGGAGUAUGUGGUUUAAUUCGACACAACGCGCAGAACCUUACCAGGGUUUGACAUCCCGUGACAACCAUAGAGAUAUGGCUUUCCCUUCGGGGACACGGUGACAGGUGCUGCAUGGCUGUCGUCAGCUCGUGUCGUGAGAUGUUGGGUUAAGUCCCGCAACGAGCGCAACCCCUGUCCUAUGUUGCUAACAGGUAAUGCUGAGCACUCUUAGGAGACUGCCGGUGUCAAGCCGGAGGAAGGUGGGGAUGACGUCAAGUCCUCAUGGCCCUUAUGCCCUGGGCUACACACGUACUACAAUGGCCGGUACAAAGAGCAGCUAACUCGCGAGAGUACGCAAAUCUCAAAAAGCCGGUCUCAGUUCGGAUUGGAGUCUGCAACUCGACUCCAUGAAGGCCGAAUCG